Molecule: long non-coding RNA, 1070 nt
Organism: Homo sapiens (human)
Lineage: Eukaryota; Metazoa; Chordata; Mammalia; Primates; Hominidae
Exons: 3
Source: RefSeq, a predicted model, not a curated record
GAGCUGUGUCCCGCGGCUGCUUAACGGCGAAAGCUUCCUAUUUGUAACCCGAACCGUCUGAGCUACUGGGCAUGCCCAGUCCCACCACUGGAAAGAGUGGGCAGAGAAGAGAGAGCUUUGAUUCUGACAUGAGAGUCAAAUUUCAAAAUGCAAAGAACGAAGUGUUUAAAAAAUGCCUGGUGAUGCCCCCCCAGUACCGCCAGCUGCUGAGUGACCAUGGGCCACUAUCCAUAGGCUACACCCAGGGAGCUGGGAACAGCCAGGAGCCCCAGUGAAGAGUUGGGGAGAGAUCAACCCUGCCUACGUGGAGUAAGAACAGAAUAAAGAGACUAAAUCGAGGCAUUAUUCACUCUAGAAAGCUGGUAAGGUAAGUGCUUGGCUAAAACCGAACAGAGUGCCAUAUCCUUGCUGCUUUUGGCUUUAAAGGUUUUCCAUCUUUUUACAAGAUGAGAAGUUACAGUUCACCUCCCCUGUUUCGAUGAAACUCUUGUUUUCAAAAUGCUAACAGGUUGGUUUUUCCUCCCAUGUUUCACCUGGCUCUGAACUACAGUCUCACAGAUUGAAAAAAGAUUUUGCAGUUAAUUAGAAUUUACAUUUUCAGUAGUUAGGAAUUACCCAAGUUAUUUUUUAAGCAUUGAUUUAAAAGGUGCAUGUAAAGUUAUCUCAGCAAACUAGUUUGCCUCUAAGAUACCAGUGUCUCCCUUUAACCUUCUCCUUUGAAUAUGUUUCUGUGCCCCAAACUGUUCUGUUAAGCUAAUACAACCAUAAGGAUUUUGUUUCAAUGCAUACUAACAGCGCACUUAGUAGCCACUCCUCGUUUCUGCUUAAUAUAACUUUUUUGCAUAAACAUAUGCAUGACUAUUAGUGCACUGAAGUCAAUUUUUAAAAUGCACAAGUUAUAAAUACAGCAGAAUAACCUACCAAACUUAACAAGGAACACCCAAAAUUUUCAAACUAUCAGUAGAUUUCGGUUAUGCAUACUUUAAGUUGAUCAAAACUGGAAGAAAAUAACUGUUUAUAUCUUUAUAUGUAUUUAUUACUUGAUGCAAUAAAGCUUAUUUUCAUUAACA